RNAcentral lists this ribosomal RNA (442 nucleotides) under uncultured bacterium. RNAcentral's name for it is "partial 16S ribosomal RNA". It matches the Rfam family "Bacterial small subunit ribosomal RNA", at positions 338 to 795 of the family's 1533-position model. The record is from RNAcentral.
CCUACGGGGGGCAGCAGUGGGGAAUAUUGGGCAAUGGACGCAAGUCUGACCCAGCAACGCCGCGUGAAGGAAGAAGGCUUUCGGGUUGUAAACUUCUUUUAAGGGGGAAGAGCAGAAGACGGUACCCCUUGAAUAAGCCACGGCUAACUACGUGCCAGCAGCCGCGGUAAUACGUAGGUGGCAAGCGUUGUCCGGAUUUACUGGGUGUAAAGGGCGUGCAGCCGGGGAGACAAGUCAGAUGUGAAAUCCACGGGCUCAACCCGUGAACUGCAUUUGAAACUGUUUCCCUUGAGUGUCGGAGAGGUAAUCGGAAUUCCUUGUGUAGCGGUGAAAUGCGUAGAUAUAACUUAGAACCCCGAUAGCGAAGGCAGCUUACCAGACUGUUACUGACGCUGAAGCACGAGAGCGUGGGUAGCGAACAGGAUUAGAUACCCUUGUAGUC